AACGCACAUUGCGCCCCCUGGUAUUCCGGGGGGCAUGCCUGUUCGAGCGUCAUUACAACCCUCAAGCAAUGCUUGGUGUUGGGCUCCGCCGCCGACCCGGCGGGCCCUAAAACCAGUGGCGGUGCCGUCGAGGCCCUGAGCGCAGUAAACAUCCUCGCUAUAGGGACCCGGCGGUCGCUGGCCACCAACCCCCACCUCCUCAGUUUGACCUCGGAUCAGGUAGGGAUACCCGCUGAACUUAA
RNAcentral lists this unclassified non-coding RNA (242 nucleotides) under Cytospora sp. RNAcentral describes it as "partial contains 5.8S ribosomal RNA, internal transcribed spacer 2, and large subunit ribosomal RNA". The stretch from base 1 to 52 matches the Rfam family "5.8S ribosomal RNA", at positions 103 to 154 of the family's 154-position model. RNAcentral also lists the same sequence under 1 other name. Lineage: Eukaryota; Fungi; Ascomycota; Sordariomycetes; Diaporthales; Cytosporaceae. The record is from RNAcentral.